This 549-nucleotide ribosomal RNA is filed under the name uncultured archaeon. Its description in RNAcentral is "bacterial SSU rRNA". It matches the Rfam family "Archaeal small subunit ribosomal RNA", at positions 38 to 589 of the family's 1478-position model. The record is from RNAcentral.
GUUCGAUUAAGCCAUGCGAGUUAAAUGUUCUUCGUGAACAUGGCGUACUGCUCAGUAACACGUGGAUAACCUGCCCUAAGGUCCGGCAUAACCCCGGGAAACUGGGGAUAAUACCGGAUAAACCAUAGAUACUGGAAUGUUCUGUGGUUAAAAGUUCCGGCGCCUUAGGAUGGAUCUGCGGCCUAUCAGGUAGUAGUGGGUGUAAAGUACCUACUAGCCGACGACGGGUACGGGUUGUGAGAGCAAGAGCCCGGAGAUGGAUUCUGAGACAUGAAUCCAGGCCCUACGGGGCGCAGCAGGCGCGAAAUCUUUACAAUGCGGGAAACCGCGAUAAGGGGACACUGAGUGCCAGCAUAUUAUGUUGGCUGUCCACCUGUAUAAAUCACAGGUGUUAGCAAGGGCCGGGCAAGACCGGUGCCAGCCGCCGCGGUAACACCGGCGGCCCGAGUGGUAGCCACUAUUAUUGGGUCUAAAGGGUCCGUAGCCGGUUUGAUCAGUCUUCCGGGAAAUCUGACAGCUCAACUGUUAGGCUUCCGGGGGAUACUGUCA